UGUUUAUGCCAUGAAAGUUGAAUUUCAACC
Molecule: non-coding RNA, 30 nt
Filed under: Homo sapiens (human)
Lineage: Eukaryota; Metazoa; Chordata; Mammalia; Primates; Hominidae
Source: RNAcentral